CCUACGGGUGGCAGCAGUGGGGAAUAUUGGGCAAUGGGCGCAAGCCUGACCCAGCAACGCCGCGUGAAGGAAGAAGGCCCUCCGGUUGUAAACUUCUUUUUACAGGGACGUAGCAAGUCACGGUACCUGUUGACUAAGCCAAGGCUAACUACGUGCCAGCAGCCGCUGUAAUACGUAGGGUGCAAGCGUUAUCCGGAUUUACUGGGUGGAACGGGCGUGUAGGCGGGAGAGCAAGUCAGACGUGAAAUGCCAGGGCUCAACCCUGGAAUUGCGUUUGAAACUGUUCUUCUUGAGUGAUGGAGAGGCAGGCGGAAUUCCGUGUGUAGCGGUGAAAUGCGUAGAUAUACGGAGGAACACCAGUGGCGAAGGCGGCCUGCUGGAGAUUAACUGACGCUGAGGCGCGAAAGCGUGGGGAGCAAACAGGAUUAGAUACCCGUGUAGUC
RNAcentral lists this ribosomal RNA (443 nucleotides) under uncultured bacterium. RNAcentral describes it as "partial 16S ribosomal RNA". It matches the Rfam family "Bacterial small subunit ribosomal RNA", at positions 338 to 795 of the family's 1533-position model. The record is from RNAcentral.